GGUCUGUGGAGCAAAUCCAGCUGCCUGAGCUAGCUCCCUGACCCGGGUGUUGAAUCCCUGCAGCUGCUCCUGCCGCACGUCCACCAGUCCCAGCCUCGCCGCGCACCUUGACUGGCUGGCCGUUGCUCGUCCGCAGGAGGCUCUCGUCGUCCGCUUCGAUGCCGAAGGCCACGAAGGGCCCCGUGGCGAUGUCCCCCCAGUACCCGCGCGCUGCCACGCGCUCCCCACGCUGGAAAAGGAGGGAGAGAGGAGGCAGGUAAUCUAGAGAUGAUUUGCGGUGUAUGGGACCAUGUGUACAGGCUAUUUAUGCCUGCAUCCCCUUCGCCUCCUGUCAUGAUUGUAAGUUUCCUGAGGCCUUCCCAGCCAUACUCCCUGUACAGCCUGUGGAACUGUGAGUCAAUUAAACCUCUUUUCUUGGGGCCGGGUGUGAUCGCACCCGCCUGUAAACCUAGCACUUUGGCAGGCCAAGGCGGGCGGAUCACCUGAGGUCAGCAUCUCGAGACCAUCC
RNAcentral lists this long non-coding RNA (508 nucleotides) under Homo sapiens (human). Its description in RNAcentral is "HSALNT0398750". Lineage: Eukaryota; Metazoa; Chordata; Mammalia; Primates; Hominidae. The record is from RNAcentral.